Molecule: ribosomal RNA, 253 nt
Filed under: uncultured bacterium
Lineage: Bacteria
Description: partial 16S ribosomal RNA
Rfam family: Bacterial small subunit ribosomal RNA
Source: RNAcentral
UACAGAGGCCUCGAGCGUUAGGCGGAAUCACUGGGCUUAAAGCGUGUGUAGGCGGACUUCUAAGUACCUUGUGAAAUCCCACGGCUCACCCGUGGAACUGCUCGGUAUACUGGUCGUCUUGAGCCUUCUAGGGGCGAGUGGAACAAAUGGUGGAGCGGUGAAAUGCGUAGAGAUCAUGAGGAAGACCAGUGGCGAAGGCGGGUCUCUGGACAGUUCCUGACACUGAGACACGAAGGCCAGGGGAGCAAACGGG